Molecule: unclassified non-coding RNA, 343 nt
Filed under: soil metagenome
Description: partial contains 5.8S ribosomal RNA, internal transcribed spacer 2, and large subunit ribosomal RNA
Rfam family: 5.8S ribosomal RNA (bases 1-120)
Source: RNAcentral
GAUGAAGAACGCAGCGAAACGCGAUAAGUAAUGUGAAUUGCAGAAUCCAGUGAAUCAUCGAAUCUUUGAACGCACAUUGCGCCCGCCAGCAUUCUGGCGGGCAUGCCUGUUCGAGCGUCAUUUCAACCCUCGACCUCCCCUUGGGGAGGUCGGCGUUGAGGACCGGCAGCACACCGCCGGCCCUGAAAUGGAGUGGCGGCCCGUCCGCGGCGACCUCUGCGCAGUAAUACAGCUCGCACCGGGACCCCGACGCGGCCACGCCGUAAAACACCCAACUUCUGAACGUUGACCUCGAAUCAGGUAGGACUACCCGCUGAACUUAAGCAUAUCAAUAAGCGGAGGA